RNAcentral lists this ribosomal RNA (527 nucleotides) under Salmonella sp. Sal1211. Its description in RNAcentral is "bacterial SSU rRNA". It matches the Rfam family "Bacterial small subunit ribosomal RNA", at positions 10 to 525 of the family's 1533-position model. The record is from RNAcentral. Lineage: Bacteria; Pseudomonadati; Pseudomonadota; Gammaproteobacteria; Enterobacterales; Enterobacteriaceae.
UUUUGGAUCCUGGGCUCAUAUUGACGCUGGCGGCAGGCCUAACACAUGCAAGUCGAACGGUAACAGGAAGCAGCUUGCUGCUUUGCUGACGAGUGGCGGACGGGUGAGUAAUGUCUGGGAAACUGCCUGAUGGAGGGGGAUAACUACUGGAAACGGUGGCUAAUACCGCAUAACGUCGCAAGACCAAAGAGGGGGACCUUCGGGCCUCUUGCCAUCAGAUGUGCCCAGAUGGGAUUAGCUUGUUGGUGAGGUAACGGCUCACCAAGGCGACGAUCCCUAGCUGGUCUGAGAGGAUGACCAGCCACACUGGAACUGAGACACGGUCCAGACUCCUACGGGAGGCAGCAGUGGGGAAUAUUGCACAAUGGGCGCAAGCCUGAUGCAGCCAUGCCGCGUGUAUGAAGAAGGCCUUCGGGUUGUAAAGUACUUUCAGCGGGGAGGAAGGUGUUGUGGUUAAUAACCGCAGCAAUUGACGUUACCCGCAGAAGAAGCACCGGCUAACUCCGUGCCAGCCGCCGCGGUAAUUA